AAAAUCAACCUGUCUCUUCAGCCUGUAGUUUCUUCACCUCACAAAUGAGAAUGCUGUGGGAAAGAGUGUCAAAAACCUUAUUGAAGACAACCACUGAUUUUUCUCAUCCAUGCAGCCACUGAUUUCACCAUAGAAGGCAAUCAGGCUGGUCAAGCCCUUGGUAAAUACAUGUUGACUGUUCCAGAUUACCUUCUUGUCCUUCCCACAUUCGGAAAUGGAUUGCAAGAGGACAUGCUCCAUGAGCUUUCCAGUGACUGAGGUAAGACUUACUAAACUGUAGAUCCUUGAUUCUCCUCUUUUUGCCUUUCUUAAAGAUGAGUUUUAAGUUAGCCCUUUUUUCCAGUCAUCAGGGAGUUCUCCUGAUUGCCAUGAUUUUUUGUAACCUUGCAAUCUUAUCAGCAACCUUCACUGUCUUUCAGUACCUUCAACUUUGAAUACAUCCAGCCUCUCUAAAGAGCCCCUAACCUGUUGCUCUCCCACUAUUUGCUGUCACCUCCUUUCAAAACAUGCUGAUUUGUGCAGCAGUCUGGAAUCAGGCAUUGCUUAGGAAGGCUGAGGCAAAAAAGGCAUUGAGUAUUUUGGCCUUCUCUAUAUCUAUUUUACCCUUUGUGUCAUACCUUUUGUGUCACUCGUUAUUAUUUAUUUUUUGGCUCCAUCAGGGAUGCGAUUUUCCUGAUUCAUGCAUAAAUGUGCCACAAUGCUUUUAUACUCUUACAUCGUGCCUGUUUUUGUUUCCAUUUCCAAUGAUUUAGACUGGGCUCCUUAAGAACGGUUUUCACAAAAUCAGAGCCACAAAAAAGUUUUUCUGGUAAAGCAGAAGAAGCCUGAGUAGUGAAAUAUUUAAAAGGUAUUUGGAAACUAUUCAUUAAAUAGACCUUCCAUCAUACAGAAUAUAAAUUCCUAAUACAUGACAGUGAGAGGUGAUGAUUUAUUUGCCCUCCUGAGAUCAAAUGAGAAAAUAUGGCUCUCCUUAGCUGGUACACACUCACCAACCAAUCGUACCACUGCUUGGGAUUUAGUGGUUUUCUGGUGGCUUCAAAAGGUUCAGUCAGGGAUCCUGGGUGCUGUACAGACGAACCCGUGGCUGCCCCACACUUCUGCUUUAAGACAGGAGACAGCAGAGGAUAACAAGGAAAGAAAGAUCAACAUAAUAGGCAAAAGGAAAACACCAGACCGCAGAGGUGAACAAUGAAGCCUGCUGCACAACUGAAGGUGAACAAUUGGCACAUCCAAGUUCUAGAAAUGUGAUGGCAGAGCAGAACUCAGCUGUACUGGUGAAAAGCUAUGGGAGUUACAGAUUCCCUGCUCUGACUACCUGUUUCUCUCACUUCAAACAACAACAUAUCAUGGAAUUUUAGCCUGCUUUUUGUGUAAACAAUCUGUAUGCAAUCACACUGUGUAUAUUUAUCUGUGCUCCCCUGCCUUGUCACCCCAAUAUCUUUUGAACAUUUUCACCAUUUUCAUCCAGAUUAUGUAGUGGUUUCAAAGAAAAUAAAGUUCUUAGG
This 1505-nucleotide long non-coding RNA is filed under the name Apteryx owenii (little spotted kiwi). RNAcentral's name for it is "lncRNA (ENSAOWG00000002891.1)". Lineage: Eukaryota; Metazoa; Chordata; Aves; Apterygiformes; Apterygidae. The record is from RNAcentral.